CUUAACAUGAAGUCCGAC
This 18-nucleotide ribosomal RNA is filed under the name Symbiodinium sp. B13. Its description in RNAcentral is "partial 24S large subunit ribosomal RNA". The record is from RNAcentral. Lineage: Eukaryota; Dinophyceae; Suessiales; Symbiodiniaceae.